UGCAGUCGAGCGAACUGACGAGGAGCUUGCUCCUUUGACGUUAGCGGCGGACGGGUGAGUAACACGUGGGUAACCUACCUAUAAGACUGGAAUAACUCCGGGAAACCGGGGCUAAUGCCGGAUAACAUAUCGAACCGCAUGGUUCGAUAGUGAAAGACGGUCUUGCUGUCACUUAUAGAUGGACCCGCGCCGUAUUAGCUAGUUGGUGAGGUAACGGCUCACCAAGGCAACGAUACGUAGCCGACCUGAGAGGGUGAUCGGCCACACUGGAACUGAGACACGGUCCAGACUCCUACGGGAGGCAGCAGUAGGGAAUCUUCCGCAAUGGGCGAAAGCCUGACGGAGCAACGCCGCGUGAGUGAUGAAGGUCUUCGGAUCGUAAAGCUCUGUUGUUAGGGAAGAACAAAUGUGUAAGUAACUAUGCACAUCUUGACGGUACCUAACCAGAAAGCCACGGCUAACUACGUGCCAGCAGCCGCGGUAAUACGUAGGUGGCAAGCGUUAUCCGGAAUUAUUGGGCGUAAAGCGCGCGUAGGCGGUUUUUUAAGUCUGAUGUGAAAGCCCACGGCUCAACCGUGGAGGGUCAUUGGAAACUGGAAAACUUGAGUGCAGAAGAGGAAAGUGGAAUUCCAUGUGUAGCGGUGAAAUGCGCAGAGAUAUGGAGGAACACCAGUGGCGAAGGCGGCUUUCUGGUCUGUAACUGACGCUGAUGUGCGAAAAGCGUGGGGAUCAAACAGGAUUAGAUACCCUGG
RNAcentral lists this ribosomal RNA (752 nucleotides) under Staphylococcus chromogenes. RNAcentral's name for it is "bacterial SSU rRNA". It matches the Rfam family "Bacterial small subunit ribosomal RNA", at positions 56 to 790 of the family's 1533-position model. Lineage: Bacteria; Bacillati; Bacillota; Bacilli; Caryophanales; Staphylococcaceae. The record is from RNAcentral.